CACCCGAUAGCACACGGCGUGCAUCUGCCUGUUGUAUACGAAUGAUAAGAAGGCCAAUAUGAGCAGAAGACCCCGUUCGACUCGGGGUCGGGUGA
Non-coding RNA from Mycena rosella, 95 nucleotides. The record is from the annotation of a GenBank genome assembly. NCBI's taxonomy places the organism in Eukaryota, Fungi, Basidiomycota, Agaricomycetes, Agaricales, Mycenaceae.